Molecule: ribosomal RNA, 251 nt
Filed under: uncultured bacterium
Lineage: Bacteria
Description: partial 16S ribosomal RNA
Rfam family: Bacterial small subunit ribosomal RNA
Source: RNAcentral
CUUCUUCGCUGCGACGCGCGACGGGUGAGUAACACGUAUCCAACCUGCCCUUUACUCGGGGAUAGCCUUUCGAAAGAAAGAUUAAUACCCGAUAGCAUAAUGAUUCCGCAUGGUUUCAUUAUUAAAGGAUUCCGGUAAAGGAUGGGGAUGCGUUCCAUUAGGUUGUUGGUGAGGUAACGGCUCACCAAGCCUUCGAUGGAUAGGGGUUCUGAGAGGAAGGUCCCCCACAUUGGAACUGAGACACGGUCCAA